CCUAGUUAAUUCUACUAGUAGUUAUAUACUUGUCUUAAAGAUUAAGCUAUAUAUAUCUAAGUAUAAGCAAUUAUACUGUAAAACUACGAAUAGCUUAUUAAAUCAGUUAUCGUUUAUUUAAUAGUACCUUACUACUUAGAUAACUGUAGUAAUUCUAGAGCUAAUAUAUACUAAAAACCCUAACUUUAGAAGGGGUGUAUUUAUUAGAUAAAAAACUAACGCCCUUUAGGGCUUCUUAGUAAUUUAUAAUAACUUUAUAGAUCGCAUAGCCUUACGCUAGCGACGGUUCAUUUAAAUUUCUGCCCUAUCAACUUUCAAUAGUAAGGUAUUAGCUUACUAUGGUUUUAACGGGUAACGGGGAAUUAGGGUUUAAUUCUAGAGAGGGAGCCUAAGAAAUAGCUACUACAUCUAAGGAAGGCAGCAGGCGCGUAAAUUACCUAAUCCUAAUAUAGGGAGGUAGUAAUAAUAAAUACUAAUAUAGGGCUCUUUUAGGUCUUGUAAUUAGAAUAAGUACAAUUUAAACCUCUUAACGAGGAAUAAUUAGAGGGCAAGUCUAGUGCUAGCAGCCGCAGUAAUUCUAGCUCUAAUAGCGUAUAUUAAAGUUGUUGCAGUUAAAAAGCUCGUAGUUAAAACUUAGGUCUAGCUAGCAGGUCCGCCUCACCGCGUGUACUUGUCUAGCCGGGCCUUCCUUCUAGAGAACCUCAUGCCCUUCACUAGGCGUGUUAGGGACUAGGACUUUUACUUUAAAAAAAUUAGAGUGUUUAAAGCAGGCCUUUACUUAAAUACGUUAGCAUAGAAUAAUAGAAUAGGACGUACAGUCCUAUUUUAUUAGUUUCUAGGACCGCCGUAAUAAUUAAUAGGGAUAGUUAGGGGCAUUAGUAUUUAAUUAUUAGAGGUAAAAUUCUUAGAUUUAUUAAAGACUAACUACUGCGAAAGCAUUUGCUAAGGAUGUUUUCAUUAAUUAGUAAACGAAAGUUAGGGGAUUAAAGACGAUUAGAUACCGUCGUAGUCUUAACUAUAAACUAUGCUAACUAGGGAUUAGGUAAUGUUCUUUUUCUAACUCGCUUAGCACCUUAUAAGAAAUUAAAGUUUUUAGGUUCUAGGGGGAGUAUAGUCGCAAGGCUAAAACUUAAAGAAAUUAACGGAAGGGUACUACUAGGCGUAGAGCCUGCGGCUUAAUUUAACUUAACACGGGGAAACUUACUAGGUCUAGAUAAAAUAAGGAUUAAUAGAUUAAGAGCUCUUUCUUAAUUUUUUAGGUAGUGGUGCAUGGCUGUUCUUAGUUAGUGGAGUAAUUUAUCUGCUUAAUUGCGAUAACAAACAAG
Molecule: ribosomal RNA, 1325 nt
Filed under: Plenodomus biglobosus/Leptosphaeria biglobosa 'brassicae' group
Lineage: Eukaryota; Fungi; Ascomycota; Dothideomycetes; Pleosporales; Leptosphaeriaceae
Description: SSU rRNA
Rfam family: Eukaryotic small subunit ribosomal RNA
Source: RNAcentral